Molecule: ribosomal RNA, 370 nt
Filed under: uncultured organism
Description: partial 16S ribosomal RNA
Rfam family: Bacterial small subunit ribosomal RNA
Source: RNAcentral
GAAGGGGGCUAGCGUUGUUCGGAAUAACUGGGCGUAAAGCGCACGUAGGCGGAAUGUUAAGUGAGGGGUGAAAUCCCAGGGCUCAACCCUGGAACUGCCUUUCAUACUGGCAAUCUAGAGAUCGAGAGAGGUGAGUGGAAUUCCGAGUGUAGAGGUGAAAUUCGUAGAUAUUCGGAGGAACACCAGUGGCGAAGGCGGCUCACUGGCUCGAUACUGACGCUGAGGUGCGAAAGCGUGGGGGAGCAAACAGGAUUAGAUACCCUGGUAGUCCACGCCGUAAACGAUGGAAGCUAGCUGUCAGGUAGUUUACUACUUGGUGGCGCAGCUAACGCAUUAAGCUUCCCCGCCUGGGAGUACGGUCGCAAGAUUA